RNAcentral lists this ribosomal RNA (253 nucleotides) under uncultured archaeon. RNAcentral describes it as "partial 16S ribosomal RNA". It matches the Rfam family "Archaeal small subunit ribosomal RNA", at positions 474 to 727 of the family's 1478-position model. The record is from RNAcentral.
AACCAGCACCUCAAGUGGUCAGGAUGAUUAUUGGGCCUAAAGCAUCCGUAGCCGGCUCUGUAAGUUUUCGGUUAAAUCUGUACGCUCAACGUACAGGCUGCCGGGAAUACUGCAGAGCUAGGGAGUGGGAGAGGUAGACGGUACUCGGUAGGAAGGGGUAAAAUCCUUUGAUCUAUUGAUGACCACCUGUGGCGAAGGCGGCCUCCUGGCUCGACACUGACACUGAGGUGCGAAAGCGUGGGGAGCAAACAGG